GUGAUCCGGAUCGAGGACAGUGUAUGGUGGGCAGUUUGACUGGGGCGGUCUCCUCCUAAAGAGUAACGGAGGAGUACGAAGGUGCGCUCAGACCGGUCGGAAAUCGGUCGCAGAGUAUAAAGGCAAAGCGCGCUUGACUGCGAGACAGACACGUCGAGCAGGUACGAAAGUAGGUCUUAGUGAUCCGGUGGUUCUGUAUGGAAGGGCCAUCGCUCAACGGAUAAAAGGUACUCCGGGGAUAACAGGCUGAU
This 251-nucleotide ribosomal RNA is filed under the name Pseudomonas aeruginosa. RNAcentral describes it as "partial 23S ribosomal RNA". It matches the Rfam family "Bacterial large subunit ribosomal RNA", at positions 2235 to 2486 of the family's 2925-position model. The record is from RNAcentral. Lineage: Bacteria; Pseudomonadati; Pseudomonadota; Gammaproteobacteria; Pseudomonadales; Pseudomonadaceae.